Molecule: ribosomal RNA, 460 nt
Filed under: uncultured bacterium
Lineage: Bacteria
Description: partial 16S ribosomal RNA
Rfam family: Bacterial small subunit ribosomal RNA
Source: RNAcentral
CCUACGGGUGGCAGCAGUGGGGAAUAUUGGACAAUGGGGGGAACCCUGAUCCAGCCAAGUCGCGUGAAGGAUGACGGCCCUACGGGUUGUAAACUUCUUUUGUCAGGGAGCAAUUGAGUCCACGUGUGGUCUUAGCGAGAGUACCUGAAGAAAAAGCAUCGGCUAACUCCGUGCCAGCAGCCGCGGUAAUACGGAGGAUGCGAGCGUUAUCCGGAUUUAUUGGGUUUAAAGGGUGCGUAGGCGGAAUAUCAAGUCAGCGGUAAAAAUUCGGGGCUCAACCCCGUCGUGUCGUUGAAACUGAUGUUCUUGAGUGGGCGAGAAGUAUGCGGAAUGCGUGGUGUAGCGGUGAAAUGCAUAGAUAUCACGCAGAACUCCGAUUGCGAAGGCAGCAUACCGGCGCCCAACUGACGCUGAAGCACGAAAGCGUGGGUAUCGAACAGGAUUAGAUACCCGUGUAGUC